This 1004-nucleotide ribosomal RNA is filed under the name Geobacillus sp. PK12. Its description in RNAcentral is "partial 23S ribosomal RNA". It matches the Rfam family "Bacterial large subunit ribosomal RNA", at positions 1945 to 2925 of the family's 2925-position model. Lineage: Bacteria; Bacillati; Bacillota; Bacilli; Caryophanales; Anoxybacillaceae. The record is from RNAcentral.
ACGGUCCUAAGGUAGCGAAAUUCCUUGUCGGGUAAGUUCCGACCUGCACGAAUGGCGUAAUGAUGGCCAGGCUGUCUCCACCCGAGACUCAGUGAAAUUGAACUCGCUGUGAAGAUGCAGUGUACCCGCGGCAAGACGGAAAGACCCCGUGAACCUUUACUAUAGCUUGACACUGAACCUUGAGCCUUGAUGUGUAGGAUAGGUGGGAGGCUUUGAAGUGUGGACGCCAGUCUGCAUGGAGCCAACCUUGAAAUACCACCCUUUAAUGUUUGAUGUUCUAACGUAGGCCCGUAAUCCGGGUUGCGGACAGUGUCUGGUGGGUAGUUUGACUGGGGCGGUCUCCUCCCAAAGCGUAACGGAGGAGCACGAAGGUUAGCUAAUCCUGGUCGGACAUCAGGAGGUUAGUGCAAAGGCAUAAGCUAGCUUGACUGCGAGAGUGACAGCUCGAGCAGGUGCGAAAGCAGGUCUUAGUGAUCCGGUGGUUCUGAAUGGAAGGGCCAUCGCUCAACGGAUAAAAGGUACUCCGGGGAUAACAGGCUGAUACCGCCCAAGAGUUCAUAUCGACGGCGGUGUUUGGCACCUCGAUGUCGGCUCAUCACAUCCUGGGGCUGAAGUAGGUCCCAAGGGUAUGGCUGUUCGCCAUUUAAAGUGGUACGCGAGCUGGGUUUAGAACGUCGUGAGACAGUUCGGUCCCUAUCUGCCGUGGGCGUUGGAAGAUUGAGAGGGGUUGCUCCUAGUACGAGAGGACCGGAGUGAACGCACCACUGGUGUACGGGUUGUGAUGCCAAUUGCAUUGCCCGGUAGCUAAGUGCGGAAGAGAUAACCGCUGAAAGCAUCUAAGCGGGAAACUUGCCUCGAGAUGAGUCUUCCCUGGGCACCAGAUGCCCCUGAAGGGCCGUUGAAGACGACGACGUAGAUAGGCUGGGUGUGUAAGCGUAGCGAUACGUUGAGCUAACCAGUACUAAUGACCCGAGAGGCUUAACCUUACAACACCGAAGGUGUUU